GAUGAACGCUGGCGGCGUGCCUAAUACAUGCAAGUCGAGCGAACGGACGAGAAGCUUGCUUCUCUGAUGUUAGCGGCGGACGGGUGAGUAACACGUGGAUAACCUACCUAUAAGACUGGGAUAACUUCGGGAAACCGUAGCUAAUACCGGAUAAUAUGUUGAACCGCAUGGUUCAAAAGUGAAAGACGGUCUUGCUGUCACUUAUAGAUGGAUCCGCGCUGCAUUAGCUAGUUGGUAAGGUAACGGCUUACCAAGGCAACGAUGCAUAGCCGACCUGAGAGGGUGAUCGGCCACACUGGAACUGAGACACGGUCCAGACUCCUACGGGAGGCAGCAGUAGGGAAUCUUCCGCAAUGGGCGAAAGCCUGACGGAGCAACGCCGCGUGAGUGAUGAAGGUCUUCGGAUCGUAAAACUCUGUUAUUAGGGAAGAACAUAUGUGUAAGUAACUGUGCACAUCUUGACGGUACCUAAUCAGAAAGCCACGGCUAACUACGUG
Molecule: ribosomal RNA, 497 nt
Filed under: uncultured bacterium
Lineage: Bacteria
Description: partial 16S ribosomal RNA
Rfam family: Bacterial small subunit ribosomal RNA
Source: RNAcentral